RNAcentral lists this ribosomal RNA (497 nucleotides) under uncultured bacterium. Its description in RNAcentral is "partial 16S ribosomal RNA". It matches the Rfam family "Bacterial small subunit ribosomal RNA", at positions 28 to 507 of the family's 1533-position model. The record is from RNAcentral.
GACGAACGCUGGCGGCGUGCUUAAUACAUGCAAGUCGAGCGGACAGACCCUGAGCUUGCUGGUCGCACGUUAGCCGCGGACGGGUGUGUAACACGUGUAUAAUCCACCUAUAAUACUGGUAACACCUCGGGACACGGGAUAUUAUACCGUAUAAGCUCCUGCACCAUAGUGGUGAAUAGAGAGAUACGGUGUUUGUGUCUGGUAUCGAUGCUUACGCGCUGCAUUAGAUAGUUGGUAAGGUAACGGCUUACCAAGGCAACGAUGCGUAGGCGAGCUGAGAGGGUGAUAGGCCACACUGGAACUGAGACACGGUCCAGACUCCUACGGGAGGCAGCAGUAGGGAAUCUUCCGCAAUGGGCGAAAGCCUGACGGAGCAACGCCGCGUGAGUGAUGAAGGUCUUCGGAUCGUAAAAAUCUGUUAUUAGGGAAGAACAAAUGUGUAAGUAACUAUGCACGUCUUGACGGUACCUAAUCAGAAAGCCACGGCUAACUACGUG